RNAcentral lists this ribosomal RNA (301 nucleotides) under uncultured bacterium. RNAcentral's name for it is "partial 16S ribosomal RNA". It matches the Rfam family "Bacterial small subunit ribosomal RNA", at positions 509 to 807 of the family's 1533-position model. The record is from RNAcentral.
CAGUAGCCGCGGUAAUACGUAGGGUGCAAGCGUUAAUCGGAAUUACUGGGCGUAAAGCGUGCGCAGGCGGUUCUAUAAGACAGAUGUGAAAUCCCCGGGCUCAACCUGGGAACUGCAUUUGUGACUGUAGAGCUGGAGUGCGGCAGAGGGGGAUGGAAAUCCGCGUGUAGCAGUGAAAUGCGUAGAUAUGCGGAGGAACACCGAUGGCGAAGGCAAUCCCCUGGGCCUGCACUGACGCUCAUGCACGAAAGCGUGGGGAGCAAACAGGAUUAGAUACCCCGGUAGUCCCUGUCUCUUAUAC